This 1950-nucleotide ribosomal RNA is filed under the name human gut metagenome. RNAcentral's name for it is "bacterial LSU rRNA". It matches the Rfam family "Bacterial large subunit ribosomal RNA", at positions 1 to 1983 of the family's 2925-position model. The record is from RNAcentral.
GAAAGUAAACAAGGGCGCAUGGAGGAUGCCUAGGCUCUCGGAGGCGAAGAAGGACGUGAUAAGCUGCGAAAAGUUACGGUAAGGCGCAAAUAGCCGUAGACCCGUAAAUAUCCGAAUGGGGCAACCCGGCCAGCAAUGGCCAUACCGCCAAGCGGUAAGCCAACGCGGGGAACUGAAACAUCUAAGUACCCGCAGGAAAAGAAAAUAACAAUGAUUCCGCCAGUAGUGGCGAGCGAACGCGGAACAGCCCAAACCACCCGUGUUACGGCACGGGUGGGGUAGAAGGAUCCACGAUACGGCAAGAAAUAAGUUAGCAGAAUACGAUGGAAAUCGUAGCCAAAGACGGUGACAGCCCGGUACGCGAAAACCGACAGAAGCCCAGUGGACACCUGAGUAACCCAGGACACGAGAAAUCCGGGGCGAAUCAGCGGGGCCCAUCCCGUAAGGCUAAAUACUCCCGAGAGACCGAUAGCGAACCAGUACUGUGAAGGAAAGGUGAAAAGAACCUCGAACAGAGGAGUGAAAGAGACCCUGAAACCAUGCGCCUACAAGCGGUCGGAGCAUGUUAAAAUGUGACGGCGUGCCUUUUGCAUAAUGAACCUACGAGUUACUCUCGCUGGCAAGGUUAAGCGAUUCAGUCGCGCAGCCGAAGCGAAAGCAAGUCCGAACAAGGCGUACAGUCAGCGGGAGUAGACGCGAAACCAAGUGAUCUACCCUUGGUCAGGUUGAAGGUUGGGUAACACCAACUGGAGGACCGCACCGAUAAGCGUUGAAAAGCUUACGGAUGAACUGAGGGUAGGAGUGAAAGGCCAAUCAAACUUGGAGAUAGCUCGUACUCCCCGAAAUGCAUUUAGGUGCAGCCUCGAAGCAGAGUGAUAGAGGUAGAGCGACUGAUAAGAUGCGAGGGCUUCACCGCCUAUCAAGUCUUGACAAACUCCGAAUACUAUCACUUGAUCUUUGGGAGUGAGGGCAUGGGUGCUAAGGUCCAUGUCCGAAAGAGGAACAACUCAGACCACCGGCUAAGGUCCCGAAAUAAGGGCUAAGUUGAAUAAACGAAGUAAAACUGCAAAGACAGCUAGGAUGUUGGCUUGGAAGCAGCCAUUCAUUUAAAGAGUGCGUAACAGCUCACUAGUCGAGGAGUUUUGCAUGGAUAAUAAUCGGGCAUAAGCCCUUUACCGAAGCUGUGGAUGUCGCAAGACAUGGUAGGGGAGCAUUCCGGCGGCGACGAAGGCCGUCCUCGAGGACGACUGGAGCUUUCGGAAAAGCAAAUGUAGGUAUAAGUAACGAUAAAGGGGGCGUGAAACCCCCUCGCCAUAAGACUAAGGAUUCCUGAUCAACGCUAAUCGGAUCAGGGUAAGUCGGGCCCUAAGGCGCAGCCGAACGGCGUAGCCGAUGGAAGAAACGGUAAAGAUUCCGUUACUGGAUAUAGGAGCGAUGUGGAGACGGAGAAGUGACACACCCGCCUGCCGACGGAAGCGCAGGUUAAAGGAAGUAGGUAAACGCCGGGCAGGCAAAUCCGCCCAGCGUGCCGAAGCUGACAGUAUCGAGAGCCCCCGGGCAAUCGAAUAGCGGUGGUAACCAGGCUCCCAAGAAAAUCCGCUAAGCAAAUUCUAUAUCCACCCGUACCCCAAACGGACACACGUAGUCGGGUAGAAUAUACCAAGGCGCUCGAAAGACUCACGGUUAAGGAACUAGGCAAAUUGACCCUGUAACCUCGGGAAAAAGGGUCCCCAGUAAGAUGGGGCGCAGAGAAUAGGUCCAGGCAACUGUUUAACAAAAACACAGGGCUGUGCAAAAUUUCAAGAUGAAGUAUACAGCCUGACACCUGCCCGGUGCCGGAAGGUUAAGAGGAGAGCUAAUCGCAAGAGAAGGCUUGAAUUGAAGCCCCGGUAAACGGCGGCCGUAACUAUAACGGUCCUAAGGUAGCGAAAUUCCUUGUCGGGUAAGUUC